Molecule: ribosomal RNA, 292 nt
Filed under: uncultured bacterium
Lineage: Bacteria
Description: partial 16S ribosomal RNA
Source: RNAcentral
GGACUACCGGGGUAUCUAAUCCUGUUCGCUCCCCGCGCUUUCGUGCCUGAGCGUCAGGCGUCGGCCAGGACGCUGCCUUCGCCGUUGGUGUUCUUCCGGAUCUCUAUGCAUUUCACCGCUCCACCCGGAAUUCCACGUCCCUCUCCGAGCCUCAAGCGACCCAGUCUUCACGGCCCUCUCCCAGGUAAGCCAGGAGCUUUCACCGCAAACUGAGGCCGCCGCCUGCGCACCCUUUACGCCCAGUAACUCCGGACAACGCUCGCCUCCUACGUAUUACCGCGGCGGCUGGCAC